Molecule: ribosomal RNA, 900 nt
Filed under: uncultured Thermoplasmatales archaeon
Lineage: Archaea; Methanobacteriati; Thermoplasmatota; Thermoplasmata; Thermoplasmatales
Description: bacterial SSU rRNA
Rfam family: Archaeal small subunit ribosomal RNA
Source: RNAcentral
AGGUCACUGCUAUUGGGAUCCGAUUAAGCCAUGCGAGUCGAGAGGGUUCGGCCCUCGGCGGACUGCUCAGUAACACGUGGACAAUCUGCCCUUAGGUGGAGGAUAAUCUCGGGAAACUGAGGAUAAUACUCCAUAGGUCUAGGAGGCUGGAAUGCACCUAGGCUUAAAACUCCGGUGCCUAAGGAUGAGUCUGCGGACUAUCAGGUAGUAGUCAGGGUAAUGACCUGACUAGCCUACGACGGAUACGGGUUGUGAGAGCAAUAACCCGGAGACGAUAUCUGAGACACGAUAUCGGGCCCUACGGGGCGCAGCAGGCGCGAAACCUUCACACUGUGCGAAAGCGCGAUGAGGGGAUCCCAAGUGCUUGCUCUUAGGAGUAAGCUGUUUCUCUGUUUAAAACGCAGGGAGAGGAAGGGCUGGGUAAGACGGGUGCCAGCCGCCGCGGUAAUACCUGCAGCUCAAGUGGUGACCGCUAUUAUUGGGCCUAAAACGUUCGUAGCCGGCUGAGUAAAUGCCUGGGUAAAUCGUGCCGCUUAACGGUACGAAUUCCGGGUAGACUGCUUAGCUUGAGACCGGGAGAAGCUAGAGGUACUCCUGGGGUAGGGGGUGAAAUCCUGUAAUCCUGGGGGGACCACCAGUGGCGAAGGCGUCUAGCUAGAACGGGUCUGACGGUGAGGAACGAAACCCUGGGGCGCAAACCGGAUUAGAUACCCGGGUAGUCCAGGGCGCAGACGCUGCUUGCUUGAUGUUAGCUGGGCUCCGAGCUCAGCUAGUGUCGGAGUGAAGAUGUUAAGCAAGCUGCCUGGGAAGUACGAUCGCAAGAUUGAAACUUAAAGGAAUUGGCGGGGGAGCACAGCAACGGGUGGAGCGUGCGGUUUAAUUGGAUUCAACGCCGGGAAU